RNAcentral lists this ribosomal RNA (253 nucleotides) under uncultured bacterium. RNAcentral describes it as "partial 16S ribosomal RNA". It matches the Rfam family "Bacterial small subunit ribosomal RNA", at positions 524 to 776 of the family's 1533-position model. The record is from RNAcentral.
UACGGAGGGUGCGAGCGUUGUCCGGAAUCAUUGGGCGUAAAGAGCUCGUAGGCGGUUUGUCGCGUCUGCCGUGAAAGUCCGGGGCUCAACUCCGGAUCUGCGGUGGGUACGGGCAGACUAGAGUGAUGUAGGGGAGACUGGAAUUCCUGGUGUAGCGGUGAAAUGCGCAGAUAUCAGGAGGAACACCGAUGGCGAAGGCAGGUCUCUGGGCCACUACUGACGCUGAGAAGCGAAAGCAUGGGGAGCGAACAGG